UACGUAGGGUGCGAGCGUUGUCCGGAAUUAUUGGGCGUAAAGAGCUCGUAGGCGGUGUGUCACGUCGGCCGUGAAAACCUGGGGCUUAACUCUGGGCGUGCGGUCGAUACGAGCAUCACUAGAGUUCGGCAGGGGAGACUGGAAUUCCUGGUGUAGCGGUGAAAUGCGCAGAUAUCAGGAGGAACACCGGUGGCGAAGGCGGGUCUCUGGGCCGAUACUGACGCUGAGGAGCGAAAGCAUGGGUAGCGAACAGG
Molecule: ribosomal RNA, 254 nt
Filed under: uncultured bacterium
Lineage: Bacteria
Description: partial 16S ribosomal RNA
Rfam family: Bacterial small subunit ribosomal RNA
Source: RNAcentral